Molecule: long non-coding RNA, 409 nt
Filed under: Zalophus californianus (California sea lion)
Lineage: Eukaryota; Metazoa; Chordata; Mammalia; Carnivora; Otariidae
Description: lncRNA (ENSZCAG00015013653.1)
Source: RNAcentral
UAUUUCCAUUAAACCUGGUACUGAUGAUUCAUGGCUUACAUCAGAUGCUGAAGACUUAAAUUUUGGUAUCCAGGAAGGAGAGGUGCAGCUGGCAAUUGGAAAACAGGAUGAUGGUAUUAGUAUUACUGAAAGUGCUCCACAAGAGCAGUUAACGACAGUCUGACUUCUGCUGAUAGAGCAUACAAAAGUAAUAGUAGUGUUAUGAUGUCAGCAUUAGGAUUAGGAGAAGAGGAAGAUGGAGAAUCACCUUGGGAUUGUGAGAGUAUUUCUGAGAGUCUUCCAAAGAAAAACAUUAAACGUUUAUCUGGAGCUGCGGAUCAGAAAGGACCACGUAUAUUAAAUGAAGAAGUAGAAGAUUCUCCUAAAAUAUAUCCUUACGUGAAGGUAAAACUUUUAUAUUUUUAUUUUG